CUUUGGUUUGACUUGAUCUCAAAAGUUGCUUCCAGCCUUGAUGGUUCAAUAAUUCUCUAACUAAUAUGGAUUUUUAGCUAUUUUUUAUGAGAACAAGCUGUAACUUGCCCUUAUCCUUCUAUAAGUCACUCUAGAGGCAAAUUACUUUUUCCCCUUCUCCUUUUCACAGAUCUCCAGGAUGGUUUUUGCCAGGUGGGAUUUUUUGUAUACCAAAGGCUAAUGCUGCGAAAGUGUAGCAGGAUCAGGAUGGUGGUAACAGAGCUGGACACCUCAGUGAUAUAAUUUGCACAGCUUUUAAGACACUUGGAAAUGUUUCAACUAAUUUUAUGGAUCAAAGUAAUUCCAGGUGGAAAAACAGGAAGACAGACAAUCUGAGGAGAGAAUGGAUCAGAGCACAACAGUCACACUCAGGGAGUGCAGUUGUUGCUAUCUCAGGCCAAAAGAAGCAUGUGUAAGUUCAUGGGAGAAGGAGAGCAAAUAUCUUGGAGCUCAAAC
RNAcentral lists this long non-coding RNA (495 nucleotides) under Cyanistes caeruleus (blue tit). RNAcentral's name for it is "lncRNA (ENSCCEG00000001381.1)". The record is from RNAcentral. Lineage: Eukaryota; Metazoa; Chordata; Aves; Passeriformes; Paridae.